Molecule: transfer RNA, 72 nt
Filed under: Camelus bactrianus (Bactrian camel)
Lineage: Eukaryota; Metazoa; Chordata; Mammalia; Artiodactyla; Camelidae
Also listed under: 2 other names
Rfam family: tRNA
About the family: Transfer RNA (tRNA) molecules are approximately 80 nucleotides in length. Their secondary structure includes four short double-helical elements and three loops (D, anti-codon, and T loops).
Source: Rfam by way of RNAcentral
GAGGGUAUAGCUCAAUGGUAGAGUCCCUGCCUAGCAUGCACGAGGUCUUGAGUUUGAUCCCCAUUACCUCCA